Molecule: ribosomal RNA, 310 nt
Filed under: uncultured bacterium
Lineage: Bacteria
Description: bacterial SSU rRNA
Rfam family: Bacterial small subunit ribosomal RNA
Source: RNAcentral
GCAGUCGAGGGGCAGCACGGGAGUAGCAAUACUUCUGGUGGCGACCGGCGCACGGGUGAUUAACGCGUAUGCAACCUACCUAUCAAAGGGAAAUAACCCGGCAAAAGUCGAACUAAUACCGCAUAAAACAGGGGCACCGCAGGGUGAUUUUUGUUAAAAAAAUUCCCUGAUAAAUGGGCAUGCUUUCCUUUAGGUAUUUGGUGAGGUAACGGCUCACCAACCCAACAAUGGAUAGGGGAACUGAAAGGUUGGUCCCCCACACUGGUCCUGAAACACGGACCAAAUUCCUACGGGAGGCACCAUUGAGGAA